This 1544-nucleotide ribosomal RNA is filed under the name metagenome. Its description in RNAcentral is "bacterial SSU rRNA". It matches the Rfam family "Bacterial small subunit ribosomal RNA". The record is from RNAcentral.
AGGGUUUGAUCCUGGCUCAGAGUGAACGCUGGCGGCGUGGAUUAGGCAUGCAAGUCGAGCGAUCGCGUGCCGAUUCUAUAGUGGUAGUAAUACUAUUGUAGAUAGGUACAUGAUAGCGGCAAACCGGUGAGUAAUAUGUGGGUAACGUACCUUAAGGAGGGGGACAGCUUCGAGAAAUCGGAGGUAAUACCCCGUACGUUCCGAUCUUCAAAGAGGGUCGGAAGAAAGAUGGCCUCUACUUGUAAGCUAUCACCUUUUGAGCGGCCCACAUCCUAUCAGGUAGUUGGUGAGAUAAAAGCCCACCAAGCCAAAGACGGGUAGCUGGCGUAAGAGCGUGGUCAGCCACAUCGGGACUGAGACACCGCCCGGACUCCUACGGGAGGCUGCAGUCGAGAAUCUUUCCCAAUGGACGAAAGUCUGAGGAUGCGACGUCGCGUGGGGGAUGAAGGUUUUCGGAUCGUAAACCCCUUUUAUUGGAGAGGAAAUUCUAUUUUUCAAAUAGAGAAGUAGAAUUGACUGUAUUCGGUGAAUAAGCCACGGCUAACUCCGUGCCAGCAGCCGCGGUAAUACGGAGGUGGCAAGCGUUACUCGGUUUGAUUGGGUGUAAAGGGUCCGUAGGUGGCCAGGUAAGUGAAAGGUGAAAUCCUUCUAUUUAACAGAAGAACGGCCUUUCAUACUGCUUGGCUUGAGGCUGGGAGAGGAGAGUGGAACUGCUAGUGGAAGGGUGAAAUCUGUGGAUAUUAGCAGGAACGCCUGUGGGGAAGCCGGCUCUCUAGUCCAGACCUGACACUGAGGGACGAAAGCUAGGGGAGCAAACAGGAUUAGAUACCCUGGUAGUCCUAGCUGUAAACGAUGGGCACUAGGUGUUUGUCCGUAAGGAUGGGUGCCGAAGGUAACCCGAUAAGUGCCCCACCUGGGGACUACGGCCGCAAGGCUAAAACUCAAAGGAAUUGACGGGGGCCCGCACAAGCGGUGGAACAUGUGGUUUAAUUCGAUGCUACGCGAGGAACCUUAUCCAGGGUUUGACAUGCUGGAAGUAAUUUUGGUGAAAGCCAGAAUGACCUGUAACCAAUCAGGUACUAGCACAGGUGCUGCAUGGCUGUCGUCAGCUCGUGCCGUGAGGUGUUCCCUUAAGUGGGAGAACGAGCGCAACCCUCGCCCUUAGUUGCCACUUCUGGUGUUUACACUAGAAAGCACUCUAAGGGGACUGCCCGCGUUAAGUGGGAGGAAGGUGGGGAUGACGUCAAGUCCGCAUGGCCUUUAUGCCCUGGGCUACACACGUGUUACAAUGCCCGCUACAGAGGGAUGCCAAGUCGUAAGGCGGAGCAAAUCCCAAAAAAAGCAGGCUCAGUUCGGAUCGAGGGCUGCAACUCGCCCUCGUGAAGCUGGAAUCGCUAGUAAUGGCGUAUCAGCAAUGACGCCGUGAAUACGUUCCCGGGCCUUGUACGCACCGCCCGUCAAGCGCUGAAAGUGAGUGGCGCCCGAAGCCCCGAUUUUCGGGAUCACGGUGAAAUUCAUGAUUGGCGCUAAGUCGGAACAAGGUA